Molecule: ribosomal RNA, 1346 nt
Filed under: uncultured bacterium
Lineage: Bacteria
Description: bacterial SSU rRNA
Rfam family: Bacterial small subunit ribosomal RNA
Source: RNAcentral
GACGAACGCUGGCGGCGUGCUUAACACAUGCAAGUCGAACGGAAAGGCCCUGCUUUUGUGGGGUGCUCGAGUGGCGAACGGGUGAGUAACACGUGAGUAACCUGCCCUUGACUUUGGGAUAACUUCAGGAAACUGGGGCUAAUACCGGAUAGGAGCUCCUGCUGCAUGGUGGGGGUUGGAAAGUUUCGGCGGUUGGGGAUGGACUCGCGGCUUAUCAGCUUGUUGGUGGGGUAGUGGCUUACCAAGGCUUUGACGGGUAGCCGGCCUGAGAGGGUGACCGGCCACAUUGGGACUGAGAUACGGCCCAGACUCCUACGGGAGGCAGCAGUGGGGAAUAUUGCACAAUGGGCGAAAGCCUGAUGCAGCAACGCCGCGUGCGGGAUGACGGCCUUCGGGUUGUAAACCGCUUUCGCCUGUGACGAAGCGUGAGUGACGGUAAUGGGUAAAGAAGCACCGGCUAACUACGUGCCAGCAGCCGCGGUGAUACGUAGGGUGCGAGCGUUGUCCGGAUUUAUUGGGCGUAAAGGGCUCGUAGGUGGUUGAUCGCGUCGGAAGUGUAAUCUUGGGGCUUAACCCUGAGCGUGCUUUCGAUACGGGUUGACUUGAGGAAGGUAGGGGAGAAUGGAAUUCCUGGUGGAGCGGUGGAAUGCGCAGAUAUCAGGAGGAACACCAGUGGCGAAGGCGGUUCUCUGGGCCUUUCCUGACGCUGAGGAGCGAAAGCGUGGGGAGCGAACAGGCUUAGAUACCCUGGUAGUCCACGCUGUAAGCGGUGGGUACUAGGUGUGGGGUCCAUUCCACGGGUUCCGUGCCGUAGCUAACGCUUUAAGUACCCCGCCUGGGGAGUACGGCCGCAAGGCUAAAACUCAAAGGAAUUGACGGGGCCCCGCACAAGCGGCGGAGCAUGCGGAUUAAUUCGAUGCAACGCGUAGAACCUUACCUGGGUUUGACAUGGAUCGGGAGCGCUCAGAGAUGGGUGUGCCUCUUUUGGGGUCGGUUCACAGGUGGUGCAUGGCUGUCGUCAGCUCGUGUCGUGAGAUGUUGGGUUAAGUCCCGCAACGAGCGCAACCCUUGUUCACUGUUGCCAGCACGUUAUGGUGGGGACUCAGUGGAGACCGCCGGGGUCAACUCGGAGGAAGGUGGGGAUGACGUCAAGUCAUCAUGCCCCUUAUGUCCAGGGCUUCACGCAUGCUACAAUGGCUGGUACAGAGAGUGGCGAGCCUGUGAGGGUGAGCGAAUCUCGGAAAGCCGGUCUCAGUUCGGAUUGGGGUCUGCAACUCGACCUCAUGAAGUCGGAGUCGCUAGUAAUCGCAGAUCAGCAACGCUGCGGUGAAUACGUUCCCGGGGCU